GAUGAACGCUGGCGGCGUGCCUAAUACAUGCAAGUCGAGCGAACGGACGAUAAGCUUUCUUCUCUGAUGUUAGCGGCGGACGGGUGAGUAACACGUGGAUAACCUACCUAUAAUACUGGGAGAACUUCGGGAAAACGGAUCUAAUACCGGAUAAUAUUUUGAACCGCAUGGUGCAAAAGUGAAUGACGGCCUUGCUGUCUCUUAUAGAUGGUUCCGCGCUGCAUUAGCUAGUUGGUAAGGGAACGGCUUACCAAGGCAACGAUGCCUAGCCGACCUGAGAGGGUGAUCGGCCACACUGGAACUGAGACACGGUCCAGACUCCUACGGGAGGCAGCAGUAGGGAAUAUUGCGCAAUGGGCGGAAGCCUGACCGAGCCAUGCCGCGUGGGUGAAGGAGGCCUUCGGGUUGUAAAACCCUUUUAUUGGGGAAGAAAAUCAGCAGAAGGAAACGCCGCCGUUCUGACGGUACCCAAUCAGAAAGCAACGGCUAACUACGUG
This 497-nucleotide ribosomal RNA is filed under the name uncultured bacterium. RNAcentral describes it as "partial 16S ribosomal RNA". It matches the Rfam family "Bacterial small subunit ribosomal RNA", at positions 28 to 507 of the family's 1533-position model. The record is from RNAcentral.